GUACCAGUUAGAUACCAGUCCUCACACAGAUACCAGUUAGAUACUAGUCCUCACACCAGUCUCUCCUCUCCUCACACAGAUACCAGUUAGAUACUAGUCCUCACACCAGUCUCUCCUCUCCUCACACAGAUACCAGUUAGAUACUAGUCCUCACACCAGUCUCUCCUCUCCUCACACAGAUACCAGUUAGAUACUAGUCCUCACACAGGUACCAGUUAGAUACCAGUCCUCACACAGAUACCAGUUAGAUACUAGUCCUCACACCAGUCUCUCCUCUCCUCACACAGAUACCAGUUAGAUACUAGUCCUCACACCAGUCUCUCCUCUCCUCACACAGAUACCAGUUAGAUACUAGUCCUCACACCAGUCUCUCCUCUCCUCACACAGAUACCAGUUAGAUACUAGUCCUCACACAGAUACCAGUUAGAUACCAGUCCUCACACAGAUACCAGUUAGAUACUAGUCCUCACACCAGUCUCUCCUCUCCUCACACAGAUACCAGUUAGAUACUAGUCCUCACACAGGUACCAGUUAGAUACCAGUCCUCACACAGAUACCAGUUAGAUACUAGUCCUCACACCAGUCUCUCCUCUCACAGAUACCAGUCCUCACACAGAUACCAGUUAGAUACUAUUCCUCACACAGAUACCAGUUAGAUACUAGUCCUCACACAGUUACCAGUUAGAUACCAGUCCUCACACAGAUACCAGUUAGAUACUAGUCCUCACACCAGUCUCUCCUCUCCUCACAUAGAUACCAGUUAGAUACUAUUCCUCACACAGAUACCAGUUAGAUACUAGUCCUCACACAGUUACCAGUUAGAUACCAGUCCUCACACAGAUACCAGUUAGAUACUAGUCCUCACACAGUUACCAGUUAGAUACCAGUCCUCACAUAGGUACCAGUUAGAUACUAGUCCUCACACCAGUCUCUCCCCUCCUCACACAGAUACCAGUUAGAUACUAGUUCUCACACAGAUACCAGUUAGAUACCAGUCCUCACACCAGUCUCUCCUCUCCUCACACAGAUACCAGUUAGAUACUAGUCCUCACACCAGUCUCUCCUCUCCUCACACAGAUACCAGUUAGAUACUAGUCCUCACACCAGUCUCUCCUCUCCUCACACAGAUACCAGUUAGAUACCAGUCCUCACACAGAUACCAGUUAGAUACUAGUCCUCACACCAGUCUCUCCUCUCCUCACACAGAUACCAGUUAGAUACCAGUCCUCACACAGAUACCAGUUAGAUACCAGUCCUCACACCAGUCUCUCCUCUCCUCACACAGAUACCAGUUAGAUACUAGUCCUCACACCAGUCUCUCCUCUCCUCACACAGAUACCAGUUAGAUACCAGUCCUCACACAGAUACCAGUUAGAUACUAGUCCUCACACCAGUCUCUCCUCUCCUCACACAGAUACCAGUUAGAUACCAGUCCUCACACAGGUACCAGUUAGAUACCAGUCCUCACACCAGUCUCUCCUCUCCUCACACAGAUACCAGUUAGAUACUAGUCCUCACACCAGUCUCUCCUCUCCUCACACAGAUACCAGUUAGAUACCAGUCCUCACACAGGUACCAGUUAGAUACCAGUCCUCACACAGAUACCAGUUAGAUACUAGUCCUCACAC
Oncorhynchus tshawytscha (Chinook salmon) is the source of this 1628-nucleotide long non-coding RNA. The record is from Ensembl. Lineage: Eukaryota; Metazoa; Chordata; Actinopteri; Salmoniformes; Salmonidae.